This 259-nucleotide long non-coding RNA is filed under the name Oryza brachyantha (malo sina). RNAcentral's name for it is "long non-coding RNA (OBRA_LNC002597)". Lineage: Eukaryota; Viridiplantae; Streptophyta; Magnoliopsida; Poales; Poaceae. The record is from RNAcentral.
ACCCACGCCUCUCCAGACGCCGCAUCCCUCACCCACUCCGUCGACCGCCGUCGUCGCCCCUCUGCUCGGCGCCCUCCAUCGCCCCUCUACCCUCGCCGCCUUAGCCCGCCCCUCACCGCCCGGCGCCCUCCUCAGCCCGCCCCGUGACCACGACCGUCCCCCGUUAGCCACGCAUCCACGCCCCUCACCGCGUCGUCGCCGCGCCUCCCCCUGGGACGUCGCCGUCCAUCUCCCCUACCCGUGUCCCUCUCCCUCACCG